UGGGUAACCUGCCCUUAGCUCUGGGAUAAGCCUGGGAAACUGGGUCUAAUACCGGAUAUGACUCCUCAUCGCAUGGUGGGGGGUGGAAAGCUUUAUUGUGGUUUUGGAUGGACUCGCGGCCUAUCAGCUUGUUGGUGAGGUAAUGGCUCACCAAGGCGACGACGGGUAGCCGGCCUGAGAGGGUGACCGGCCACACUGGGACUGAGACACGGCCCAGACUCCUACGGGAGCAG
RNAcentral lists this ribosomal RNA (233 nucleotides) under uncultured bacterium. RNAcentral's name for it is "partial 16S ribosomal RNA". It matches the Rfam family "Bacterial small subunit ribosomal RNA", at positions 118 to 347 of the family's 1533-position model. The record is from RNAcentral.